UUGUUCUGUUAUGCUGUCCCGUUGCCUGGUUGGGGCCUGCAGUCCAGGACUGCUCGCCGUGCAAGUGCUAUAAACCCAACUCAAACUAGUUAAACAAAAAGGUAAAUCACUGGUUCACAAUAACGGGGAGGCCUAGAGGGGAUUUUGGUUUCAGGGGCAAACUAGACCGAGUCUCAAAAGAUACUGUCAGUGCACAUUUCUCUCUGUCUCUGUCUCUCUGUCUCUGUCUCUCUCAGUUCCUGCUCUGCUUCCCUCGUUAUGUUGCCCUUACUCAGUCCUACUAUUGAGAGCCUUCCUCUCUGUGACGGGGAACAGAUCGCCUCAGACCGCUGCAUAUUCUCUUAGCGUAAUGACCCCUGUGAUGAAAUCCUCUGUCCCAGAAGGCAUGUAUCAAUCCCAGGGAAAAUCUGAAUUGGUUUUGCUGGAGUCUUCUGCUUACCUGCGGACCAGUCACUUCCCAGGGGUUCGAGGUGAUAUAGGCCCAACAUAGGUGAUGCACCUUUUCCAGAGGGAGAGGUACGCCCUUAUUAGAAGAAGGGACAGUACAAGGUAGAACAGAUCAGUAGUUGUCACUGUUGUCCACAGUAACUUGUCAGAGGCUGGCAAGAGUCAGUGCUGGUAAUCUUGAAAUAAAGGAAUGACAGAUGUAAGGGGUUUGUUUUUACUACUCUUUUCCUUGCCAGUUUCAACCUUUUAUAAAAUCAUUUUGUGUUUUGGUUGCCAUCGUAUGGGUCCGUGGCAAUAAUUUAAUAAUGGACAUUUGGCACGUGAUACUGUGAGCAUGAUACACGUUGCAAAGGUUUAAAUCUGCAGUUUUUACGUGUUUUCUGCACGAGGAAUUAAAAUAGAGGAAGAAAAUUUGAGAUCUGCAGACCGGAUUCAUCCAUAAACAUGUUUUUGCUGGAUCUUCCCAUGUGGUUUUUAAAAAGUUUAGCAUAGGGGCGCCUCGGUGGUUCAGUUGGUUGGGCAUCUGACUUGGGCUUGGGUCAUGAUCUCAUGGUUUGUGAAUUCAGGCCCCGCCUUGGGCUCUGUGCUGACAGCUCGGAGCCUGGAGCCUGCUUCGGAUUCUGUGUUUCCCUCUCUCUCUGCCUGCCUCUGUCUAUCUGUCUGUCUGUCUGUCUGUC
This is a long non-coding RNA of Neofelis nebulosa (Clouded leopard), 1124 nucleotides long. RefSeq lists it as uncharacterized. The record is from RefSeq and is a predicted model, not a curated record. Lineage: Eukaryota; Metazoa; Chordata; Mammalia; Carnivora; Felidae. The transcript is spliced from 2 exons.